AUUGAACGCUGGCGGCAGGCCUAACACUUGCAAGUCGAGCGGCAGCGGGAAAGUAGCUUGCUACUUUUGCCGGCGAGCGGCGGACGGGUGAGUAAUGCCUGGGAAAUUGCCCAGUCGAGGGGGAUAACAGUUGGAAACGACUGCUAAUACCGCAUACGCCCUACGGGGGAAAGCAGGGGACCUUCGGGCCUUGCGCGAUUGGAUAUGCCCAGGUGGGAUUAGCUAGUUGGUGAGGUAAUGGCUCACCAAGGCGACGAUCCCUAGCUGGUCUGAGAGGAUGAUCAGCCACACUGGAACUGAGACACGGUCCAGACUCCUACGGGAGGCAGCAGUGGGGAAUAUUGCACAAUGGGGGAAACCCUGAUGCAGCCAUGCCGCGUGUGUGAAGAAGGCCUUCGGGUUGUAAAGCACUUUCAGCGAGGAGGAAAGGUUGAUGCCUAAUACGUAUCAACUGUGACGUUACUCGCAGAAGAAGCACCGGCUAAUUCCGUGCCAGCAGCCGCCGUAA
Molecule: ribosomal RNA, 508 nt
Filed under: uncultured bacterium
Lineage: Bacteria
Description: partial 16S ribosomal RNA
Rfam family: Bacterial small subunit ribosomal RNA
Source: RNAcentral